RNAcentral lists this ribosomal RNA (368 nucleotides) under uncultured bacterium. RNAcentral describes it as "partial 16S ribosomal RNA". It matches the Rfam family "Bacterial small subunit ribosomal RNA", at positions 338 to 698 of the family's 1533-position model. The record is from RNAcentral.
CCUACGGGAGGCAGCAGUGGGGAAUAUUGCGCAAUGGGCGAAAGCCUGACGCAGCGACGCCGCGUGAGGGAUGAAGGUCUUCGGAUCGGAAACCUCUGUCAGUAGGGAAGAACGGUCACUGUGCUAAUCAGCAGUGAAUUGACGGUACCUGCAAAGGUAGCACCGGCUAACGCCGUGCGAGCAGCAGCGGCAAUACGGAGGGUGCGAGCGUUAAUCGGAUUUACUGGGCGUAAAGUGCGCGUAGGCGGUAUGUCAAGUCAAGGGUGAAAUCCCCGCGCUCAACGUGGGAACUGCCUUUGAAACUGGCAGACUGGAGUGUGUGAGAGGAUGGGGGAAUUCCAGGUGUAGGAGUGAAAGGCGUAGAUAUC